AGCAGCCGCGGUAAUUCCAGCUCCAAUAGCGUAUAUUAAAGUUGUUGCAGUUAAAAAGCUCGUAGUUGAAUUUCGGGAUCAAUUUAUUGGUCGUGCUAUUGUACGUACUGGUAUUAUUGAUUCCUACCUUCUGACGAACCAUGAUGUCAUUAAUUUGGUGUCAUGGGGAAUCAGGACUGUUACUUUGAAAAAAUUAGAGUGUUUAAAGCAGGCUCACGCUUGAAUACAUUAGCAUGGAAUAACGAAAUAGGACGUUUGAUUCUAUUUUGUUGGUUUCUAGGAUCGACGUAAUGAUUAAUAGGGAUAGUUGGGGGCAUUAGUAUUCAAUUGUCAGAGGUGAAAUUCUUGGAUUUAUUGAAGACUAACUACUGCGAAAGCAUUUGCCAAGGAUGUUUUCAUUAAUCAAGAACGAAAGUUAGGGGAUCGAAGACGAUCAGAUACCGUCGUAGUCUUAACCAUAAACUAUGCCGACUAGGGAUCGGAUGAUGUUAAUUUUUAAUGACUCAUUCGGCGCCUUACG
RNAcentral lists this ribosomal RNA (520 nucleotides) under uncultured Glomus. Its description in RNAcentral is "SSU rRNA". It matches the Rfam family "Eukaryotic small subunit ribosomal RNA", at positions 569 to 1092 of the family's 1831-position model. Lineage: Eukaryota; Fungi; Glomeromycota; Glomeromycetes; Glomerales; Glomeraceae. The record is from RNAcentral.